GCAUAUCAAUAAGCGGAGGAAAAGAAACUAACAAGGAUUCCCCUUAGUAACUGCGAAGUGAAGAAGGGAAAAGCUCAAAUUUAAAAUCUGGCAGCUUCGCUGUCCCGAGUUGUAAUUUAGAGAAGUGUUGCCCGCGCUGGACCGUGUACAAGUCUCCUGGAAUGGAGCGUCAUAGAGGGUGAGAAUCCCGUCUUUGACACGGACUCCCAGUGCAUUGUGGUACGCUCUCAAAGAGUCGUGUUGUUUGGGAAUGCAGCACUAAAUGGGUGGUAAAUUCCAUCUAAAGCUAAAUAUUGGCGAGAGACCGAUAGCAAACAAGUACCGUGAGGGAAAGAUGAAAAGAACUUUGGAAAGAGAGUUAAACAGUACGUGAAAUUGUUGAAAGGGAAACGCUUAAAGUCCAGUCGCGUCGGUUGGGAAUCAGUCUCGCUCUUUUGCUUGACGUACUUCCUAGCUGACGGGUCAGCAUCAGUUUUGAUCGUUGGAUAAAGGUUGGAGGAAUGUGGCACCUUCGGGUGUGUUAUAGCCUCUGGUUGUAUACAACGGUUGGGACUGAGGAACUCAGCACGCCGAAAGGCCGGGUACUUGUACCACGUACGUGCUUAGGAUGCUGGCAUAAUGGCUUUAAUCGACCCGUCUUGAAACACGGACCAAGGAGUCUAACAUGCCUGCGAGUAUUUGGGUGGAAAACCCGAGUGCGCAAUGAAAGUGAAAGUUGAGAACUCUUUAGAGUGCAUCGACGCCCGGACCAGACGUUCUCCGACGGAUCCGCGGUAGAGCAUGUAUGUUGGGACCCGAAAGAUGGUGAACUAUGCCUGAAUAGGGUGAAGCCAGAGGAAACUUCUGGUGGAGGCUCGUAGCGAUUCUGACGUGCAAAUCGAUCGUCGAAUUUGGGUAAUAGGGGCGAAAGACUAAUCGAACCAUCUAGUAGCUGGGUUCCUGCG
RNAcentral lists this ribosomal RNA (944 nucleotides) under Flammulina velutipes. RNAcentral's name for it is "LSU rRNA". It matches the Rfam family "Eukaryotic large subunit ribosomal RNA", at positions 38 to 963 of the family's 3401-position model. The record is from RNAcentral. Lineage: Eukaryota; Fungi; Basidiomycota; Agaricomycetes; Agaricales; Physalacriaceae.